UGGGGAAUAUUGGACAAUGGGCGCAAGCCUGAUCCAGCCAUGCCGCGUGAGUGAUGAAGGCCCUAGGGUUGUAAAGCUCUUUCACCGGUGAAGAUAAUGACGGUAACCGGAGAAGAAGCCCCGGCUAACUUCGUGCCAGCAGCCGCGGUAAUACGAAGGGGGCUAGCGUUGUUCGGAUUUACUGGGCGUAAAGCGCACGUAGGCGGACUUUUAAGUCAGGGGUGAAAUCCCGGGGCUCAACCCCGGAACUGCCUUUGAUACUGGAAGUCUUGAGUAUGGUAGAGGUGAGUGGAAUUCCGGGUGUAGAGGUGAAAUUCGUAGAUAUUCGGAGGAACACCAGUGGCGAAGGCGGCUCACUGGACCAUUACUGACGCUAAGGUGCGAAAGCGUGGGGAGCAAACAGG
RNAcentral lists this ribosomal RNA (404 nucleotides) under Actinomycetes bacterium. RNAcentral's name for it is "Actinobacteria bacterium partial 16S ribosomal RNA". It matches the Rfam family "Bacterial small subunit ribosomal RNA", at positions 355 to 776 of the family's 1533-position model. The record is from RNAcentral. Lineage: Bacteria; Bacillati; Actinomycetota; Actinomycetes.